CCGCCCGUAGCUCAGUUGGCAGAGCAGCGCGCUCUUAACGCGAGGGUCGCAGGUUCGAAUCCUGCCGGGCGGA
Molecule: transfer RNA, 73 nt
Filed under: Candidatus Sungbacteria bacterium RIFCSPLOWO2_01_FULL_60_25
Lineage: Bacteria; Candidatus Sungiibacteriota
Description: tRNA-Lys
Rfam family: tRNA
About the family: Transfer RNA (tRNA) molecules are approximately 80 nucleotides in length. Their secondary structure includes four short double-helical elements and three loops (D, anti-codon, and T loops). Further hydrogen bonds mediate the characteristic L-shaped molecular structure. tRNAs have two regions of fundamental functional importance: the anti-codon, which is responsible for specific mRNA codon recognition, and the 3' end, to which the tRNAs corresponding amino acid is attached (by aminoacyl-tRNA synthetases). tRNAs cope with the degeneracy of the genetic code in two manners: having more than one tRNA (with a specific anti-codon) for a particular amino acid; and 'wobble' base-pairing, i.e. permitting non-standard base-pairing at the 3rd anti-codon position.
Source: RNAcentral